RNAcentral lists this long non-coding RNA (800 nucleotides) under Fukomys damarensis (Damara mole-rat). Its description in RNAcentral is "lncRNA (ENSFDAG00000025016.1)". Lineage: Eukaryota; Metazoa; Chordata; Mammalia; Rodentia; Bathyergidae. The record is from RNAcentral.
AAACAAAGGCGUGCAUUCCAUACAUUUCCUAAGAAAGGAAAGCCAGCACAGAAACCUCCACCUCUGUGCUCUCUCAGUUAAACCUCAAGAGUCUGGGGCCUCAAGUUUGAAGUUGUCUUCCUGCCUCUUGGGGUUUUAAAAAGACUCCAAAGUGCUUCAAACCACUACAGCUGCGUCUUGGUUUAUGGCUCAAAUUUAAACCACAAAUUAUAAAAUGAUAAAUCGCUGCUCAAGUCUCUUCCAGGAAAGACUAUGUCGUCAAGAUUAAGUUACAACCCCAUGGACGUAUGAGCAAGUCUAGCUGCUGACUAAUUCUCACACCCAUUUUCCUGCGAGAGACAUUUUCUCUCCACGAACUUUCGCUGUAUCUGACCACUUCACACAAAGAAAAUGACUGCAGGCAGGGAAAACACAAGAAGCAACUUAACCCACGGAGCUGCUGCAUGCUUUAUUAUAUAAUGGCUGCUUUCUUUUCAUAAGCACCAAAGGAAGUCUAAGAAACAUCUUCCUUCUUCAGCACUUAACUGCCAGGGAAUUGGGAGAAAUAACGUCGCGUCGCAUGGCCAGCUGCGCUCACCUCACCCACUAAUUGGAAGGCUCCGCCGUCACACUGACCUCAUUUUGACUACCUGGGGUUGAAGGAAGCAGCUCGACAUCCAUCAUGUUCCACCAGCACAGCGCCUUAGUUACACAACCGUGACCCGGUUUCUCCAAGGCCAUUCAAGCCUCGAGGACCAUCAGGUCAUGAGUCAUAAUCCUUCCAGCAUUCGCUCCUGAAUUCAUCCCCUAUUCAUUUACAC